Small nuclear RNA from Octopus sinensis (East Asian common octopus), 104 nucleotides. Lineage: Eukaryota; Metazoa; Mollusca; Cephalopoda; Octopoda; Octopodidae. The record is from RefSeq and is a predicted model, not a curated record.
UUACAUGGCAGUACAUAUACAAAAAUUGGGAAGAUACUGAAAAAAUUAAUGUGGCCCCCCCGUGCAAGGAUGACAUGCAAAAUUCUGAAGCAUUCCAUAUUUUU